Non-coding RNA from Salmo salar (Atlantic salmon), 6206 nucleotides. The record is from RefSeq and is a predicted model, not a curated record. Lineage: Eukaryota; Metazoa; Chordata; Actinopteri; Salmoniformes; Salmonidae.
GCUAAUAGAUUGUGUCAUAGGCAACGUAACAAAAACAUAGGUGAAGAAAUAGUUAUUGGCGGGAGGGGCAGGUACUUUCCUACCACAGGGGCAGAUUUGACUCAUUCUGUUUACAGAAGUAUAUCUGUUGAGCCACCGUUAACUUUUGGCAAUAAAAAAGAAGAUAUUUGCGUUCCAGCAAUGCCGCGAAAAAAGAGAAGCCAUGCCCAUCAUAAAAAGUCACAGGGGCAGAGAACAGCUCCUAGUACCACACUUGGAGAGCAGCAGGUGGAUGACAGGCCCUAUAAUACUCAAGCUGCUGCAGCCUCUAAGGCUCAGCCUGCUUUUGACUGCUGUCAAUGCUUUAAGAAAGCGCCCAAAGGUUACCAAGAGUUACCGAGUGAGUCGUUCCCACCCGAGUUGUUCCACCCCAGUUCGCAGCCUAGACAGUACUCACCCACUUCAGUGGCACAGGUUGCUGUGAAUCCAGCACAAUUUGAGAGUGCAUCUGCCGCCUCCACCAUGGCUACAAAGCCAGGGGCGGUGUCCGUGACAAUGGGUGGUGCCACAGCAAGUGGUGCCACAGCGGGAGGAAGUCCUACUACAGCAGGGACAACACAAAGAGGAACGGCCAAAGUGGCGAUGCCAGAGACGGCACUCGUCUCUCCAGCUGGUGCUACUAUUAUUGACAUACCAACACCUGGGACCAAAGGCAGUCCUAAAGACACCCCAAAGCCGGCACCCAUGCACCCGGCCAAAGCUACACCUCCUACCACUGGAGGUGGCAUUAUUGUAGUGGAGGCAGUACCUCCAUGGAAAGCUGAAGUACCAACGCUUCAAGAGUCUCUGAAACAGACAGCCAAGAGUGUGCCCACCACAUCAAGCAAAGUUGACAUGGCUAAAAAGGAUCCUGCUAAGUUGGUUACGGCUGUUGCUGCACCAGCUGCCGCGGCUGGAGCUGCCUCUCUGAAGGGGCCACAGACUAAGGUACAGGUGGAAGUAGUUCCCCCAGGAGCUAAGGCAGCCAAAGAGGAGCUUGCUGUGGACCCGUUCGAUGCCCUGGCUGAUUCCUUACCCUCAUCAGAGUCUUUCGCACCUGCAGCCCAUGUAUACACCGGGCCAGAGGUGAUAGAGCAUGGACUGACCUCAAAGAAGGGAGUGAUAUGUGGGGGGGACGACUGCCCACUGCCCCCAGGAUACCGAUCUGAAGACAUGGCCCCAGUUGCAGAUGUCAAGCCAAAAGAUGUCCCGAAACCCAUGAGCACAGAUGAGGCUCUGGACUCCCUGUCCUUUGGGUUCACAACCUCUAUGGCUCCCAUCCCUCAGAAACAGGAGAAGAAAGUGGAAGACUUGGGUGCCAUUGAUGCCUUGUCUGCUGGCUUCUCAAACUUUGCUCCACCUCCACCCGCUCCCAUCAAGAAAGCUGAAGAGUUUAAGUCUGCGCCUGUGACCAAGUCUCCUGCUCCCCCCAUUGACAAGAAAGCUAAGGUGGAAAAGUUUGCUGAUGACUUCUCUCUGAUGUCAGGAUUGGACUCCCCACUGGACACCAAGCCCAAGACAGCUGAGAGUGUUCCCACCACAUCAAGCAAAGUUGACAUGGCUAAAAAGGAUCAUGCUAAGUUGGUUACGGCUGUUGCUGCACCAGCUGCGGCGGCUGGAGAUGCUUCUCUGAAGGGGCCACAGACUAAGAAAGUUGAGGAUUUGGCUGCCAUUGAUGCCUCGUCUGCUGGCUUUUCCAACUUUGCUCCACCUCCACCCGCUCCCAUCAAGAAAGCUGAAGAGUUUAAGUCUGCGCCUGUGACCAAGUCUCCUGCUCCCCCCAUUGACAAGAAAGCUAAGGUGGAAAAGUUGGCUGAUGACUUCUCUCUGAUGUCAGGAUUGGACUCCCCACUGGACACCAAGCCCAAGACAGCUGAGAGUGUGCCCACCACAUCAAGCAAAGUUGACAUGGCUAAAAAGGAUCCUGCUAAGUUGGUUACGGCUGUUGCUGCACCAGCUGCCGCAGCUGGAGAUGCUUCUCUGAAGGGGCCACAGACUAAGGUACAGGUGGAAGUAGUUCCCCCAGGAGCUAAGGCAGCCAAAGAGCUAGCACCCAUGCACCCGGCCAAAGCUACACCUCCUACCACUGGAGGUGGCAUUAUUGUAGUGGAGGCAGUACCUCCAUGGAAAGCUGAAGUACCAACGCUUCAAGAGUCUCUGAAACAGACAGCCAAGAGUGUGCCCACCACAUCAAGCAAAGUUGACAUGGCUAAAAAGGAUCCUGCUAAGUUGGUUACGGCUGUUGCUGCACCAGCUGCCGCAGCUGGAGAUGCUUCUCUGAAGGGGCCACAGACUAAGGUACAGGUGGAAGUAGUUCCCCCAGGAGCUAAGGCAGCCAAAGAGCUAGCACCCAUGCACCCGGCCAAAGCUACACCUCCUACCACUGGAGGUGGCAUUAUUGUAGUGGAGGCAGUACCUCCAUGGAAAGCUGAAGUACCAACGCUUCAAGAGUCUCUGAAACAGACAGCCAAGAGUGUGCCCACCACAUCAAGCAAAGUUGACAUGGCUAAAAAGGAUCCUGCUAAGUUGGUUACGGCUGUUGCUGCACCAGCUGCCGCAGCUGGAGAUGCUUCUCUGAAGGGGCCACAGACUAAGGUACAGGUGGAAGUAGUUCCCCCAGGAGCUAAGGCAGCCAAAGAGGAGCUUGCUGUGGACCCGUUCGAUGCCCUGGCUGAUUCCUUACCCUCAUCAGAGUCUUUCGCCCCUGCAGCCCAUGUAUACACCGGGCCAGAGGUGAUAGAGCAUGGACUGACCUCAAAGAAGGGAGUGAUAUGUGGGGGGGACGACUGCCCACUGCCCCCAGGAUACCGAUCUGAAGACAUGGCCCCAGUUGCAGAUGUCAAGCCAAAAGAUGUCCCGAAACCCAUGAGCACAGAUGAGGCUCUGGACUCCCUGUCCUUUGGGUUCACAACCUCUAUGGCUCCCAUCCCUCAGAAACAGGAGAAGAAAGUGGAAGACUUGGGUGCCAUUGAUGCCUUGUCUGCUGGCUUCUCAAACUUUGCUUCACCUCCACCCGCUCCCAUCAAGAAAGCUGAAGAGUUUAAGUCUGCGCCUGUGACCAAGUCUCCUGCUCCCCCCAUUGACAAGAAAGCUAAGGUGGAAAAGUUGGCUGAUGACUUCUCUCUGAUGUCAGGAUUGGACUCCCCACUGGACACCAAGCCCAAGACAGCUGAGAUUGUGCCCACCACAUCAAGCAAAGUUGACAUGGCUAAAAAGGAUCCUGCUAAGUUGGUUACGGCUGUUGCUGCACCAGCUGCCGCAGCUGGAGAUGCUUCUCUGAAGGGGCCACAGACUAAGAAAGUUGAGGAUUUGGCUGCCAUUGAGGCCUCGUCUGCUGGCUUUUCCAACUUUGCUCCACCUCCACCCGCUCCCAUCAAGAAAGCUGAAGAGUUUAAGUCUGCGCCUGUGACCAAGUCUCCUGCUCCCCCCAUUGACAAGAAAGCUAAGGUGGAAAAGUUUGCUGAUGACUUCUCUCUGAUGUCAGGAUUGGACUCCCCACUGGACACCAAGCCCAAGACAGCUGAGGGUGGCUCCAUGUCCCUGGAUGCUCUCAGCGCUCUGGGAGACUCUCUGCCUGCUCCAGAACCAGCACCUCAACCUCCCAAGAUCAGACAUGAGGACAUAGUCAUGGAGGGCAAACUCACAUCGAAGAAGGGAGUGUUUGUGGGUGAGCGAGAUGACACACUCCCACCAAAGUACAGGUUCACAGAAAACAAAGUCAAAGACCUGCCUCCUCUGAAGCCAGAGGCAAUGGCAGAGGCCAAAGUCCAGGCUGUAGUUAGACCCAAGCAGCCGUCGAUGGAUGACAGCGAGGCCCUUGACCUCUUGUCUAGAGACUUGUCUUCCUCAGCUGGUCCAGCUGCAGCCUCAGUAGCCGUGACAACAGAGCAGAGACAGCCUAGACUGGAGCCCAUGUCUGCCCCUGUCCUGGAUGACCUGGCAGGCACCCUGCUCCCAGACGCCCCCGUGUUCAAAUCUAAGGGAGACAAGCCAAAGUUUAGGAAAAGCAAACGAAGGCCGGGAUUUAAUCCAAUUGCGGGUUAAAGGCAAUUCAGCUUUAAAAGGCAAUGUUCCUGCGGUCGCAUUCACGAGCAAGUCAAGGUCAAAGUCAAAGAAACAACGGGAAGAGGAUCCGUCAUCCAUAGACCACCUGUCUGGACAGCUGAGUUCAGACGUAGUGUCAGCAUCCACAAAUAAGGGUGGCAAGAGCUAGACAUCUAUGUAAGGACUACAAGACUCAACCAUCUUUAUUGAAUUUUCAUUUUUUUUUUUUUUUUACCUGUAUUUAACUAGGCAAGCCAGUUAAGAACACAUUCUUAUUUACAAUGACGGCCUACACCGGCCAAACUCAGACGACGCUGGGUCAAUUGUGCGCUGCCCAAUGGGACUCCCAAUCACGGCCGGUUGUGAUACAGUCUGUAUUCGAACCAGGUUGUCUGUAGUGACGCCUCUAGCUGAGAUGCAGUGCCUUAGACCACUGCGCCACUUGGAAGACAAUGUGACUGUAAUGCAUGCUUGCAUGUCUCUUAUUCCCUAAAGUACUAGCAUACAUACUUUUUAGUCUGAAUCUACUGGCAUGGCAUACUUAUUAGUAUCUUAUGACAGGCUUUUGAGUCUUCUCCUGUGACAUUGACUGAUGUACUUUGAGAUAUAUUGCAGGUUUCUAGCGCACUACAUGUCCCCUGCCACACGGUGGCACCAUUCGAGGGAGCUGCUGUGAAUGAUUCUAUUUUUCUAAAUGGUGGAGAACAUAUACUGGAUAAAAAACCAACAUGACCACACACUUACACACAUGCGCAUGUACACACACACACACACACACACCACAGUGUGCAACGCCUUUCUUGCUUGGUUUCGCACAUGACAGAAGAUUGUACUAGUUUUGGUUUCUUUCAUUUGACAUGAGGAGAGCAAAAUAAAGAGGGAGAGCGAGGGAGUUUGGCCUGACUUAUUUCCCAGGAUUGACAGAGAAUCUGUCCAAUCCUGUAAGGAAAAUAAAUCUGGGCUUUGCCCACAAGUGGCCUGACUGUCCAUCCUAGCUAACUGUCUGCAUUGCCCCAACGUUGCAGUGACGUUGCUGCUACGUUGCUGCAAUAUUGCUACAGCGUUGGGGGUAAUAGUGAGUGUCAUGUGUUUCGGAACAGUAUAUAGGGGUUAUGUAGGAUUGGGAUGUCUGUCCAAUCUUGAUGUACACAGAAAAGUGAGUUUUCUCUUAAGUGGACACCCACCAUAAUACACUAGUGUACAGCAUAGUCUGCUCAAUAUUGAAACGUAUAAAAGGAUUUACAGGAAAUCAUCUGCUUGAUACGGAUGCAUCUGAGAGCAAUUCUAUAUAUUUACUUUCUGUAAAGCAAUAUCUAUUAAGAAGGGUUUGUAUAUGUGUACUUUGCCUUAUAAAAGCAUUAUUGGUUUCAGAAAGUGGGCACAGAAGUUAACUUAGGCAGUCACUACGUCUGUAAACUGCCUUUGUAUACUGUAAAGACUUGCUCUAGAUAUGAGGACACUGUGUAAUUUACACAGUCUAAAGGGCUAUCUAUCACUUCUAGUCAAAAAGUCCAAAGUUUUGUGGAUUAUUUCCCCAAGAUGGUAUCACAGAAUUCUACAUAUUUAGGUGCAGGUCUCAAACUUAAGUUGAGAGAUAUUUUGGAAAUGGGAAUUCUAAUUAAAUAAAUACAAAUAUGUGAAUAAUCAUUGUGUUGUGUGUAUUCAGCAUUCAUGGGUCUGAACUAACUCCUUGUGCCACGCUCAACAACUGAAAACAGAAAAAUAUUUUUUCUAGCUAACAUGGGGUAACCUAAAAUGUGCAUUGCCAAUAAAUAAAUGAAUGCCUAUAACAAGACAGUAGUAUAAUACAUUUGUGUAAGAGGGUCUUUCGGUAUAGGGAACUUACUGUAUAUCUGUGUUGCAGUUAAGGGGAAGAAAGUUAUAAUAUUUUAGAAACAUUUUCACAUGUAAUAUUAGGACAAUCUUUCUGUUGUACAAAGCAGCGCAGUAGUUUUUUAUUUUAUUUUGUAAAGCUUUACAAAGCUCCUUCUGCCUCUGAGUUUUGGAACGUGUGUUCAACCUCGACUCAAGUCUGACUUUUUUCUUUUUUUUUGUGCAACGGCCUUCGGCGCUUGAGGAGUAGAAGUUGAGUAGAUUUCAAGUGUCGUAAACAAAACCUAAUAAAAAUCUAUGUGGUUUCACCA